AGAUUUCAUUAUUGCUUCCCUGAUGUAACCAGGAGGAUUUAAAUAACCAAUGGGGGUGGAUACUCCUUUCUUUCUGACCUGAACCUUAUUGCAAAACACCAAGUGGAUAAAUGUAAAUUCUGAAGUUGCCUGGUUUUCUCCAGGACACACCCAGAAAGAUUCAUCACUCUGACAAAAGUUUAAAUGCUUAUAAUCCAUUUGUAAUGGAGCAUUUGGGAUGGAAUUAUAUAUGGAGAACUAUCCAUUUUGAGGGAAGACUUACGGAAAAAUUAUCAGUUCAAUAUGGUAAGUCCAGGGAAAAAGAAAGGAAUGAAUUGGACUCAGCAUCCUGGUGUCAUUUGUUUCCAGUGUUCACUGAGCAUCAUUUUGCUACCUCUGAUCCACUCUACAUCAUAAGAGGUGAACUUACCCCUU
Long non-coding RNA from Herpailurus yagouaroundi (jaguarundi), 414 nucleotides. RefSeq lists it as uncharacterized. The transcript is spliced from 2 exons. NCBI's taxonomy places the organism in Eukaryota, Metazoa, Chordata, Mammalia, Carnivora, Felidae. The record is from RefSeq and is a predicted model, not a curated record.